RNAcentral lists this transfer RNA (77 nucleotides) under Thermofilum sp. Its description in RNAcentral is "tRNA-Pro". It matches the Rfam family "tRNA". Rfam says of the family: Transfer RNA (tRNA) molecules are approximately 80 nucleotides in length. Their secondary structure includes four short double-helical elements and three loops (D, anti-codon, and T loops). The record is from RNAcentral. RNAcentral also lists the same sequence under 1 other name. Lineage: Archaea; Thermoproteati; Thermoproteota; Thermoprotei; Thermofilales; Thermofilaceae.
GGGGCCGUAGUCUAGCUUGGUAGGAUGCCAGCCUGGGGCGCUGGUGAUCCCGGGUUCAAGUCCCGGCGGCCCCACCA